UAUAAAGUGCCUGAUUAAAGGAUUAUUCUGAUAGAGUAAAUAAAAUAAUAAUAACUUAUUAUCUUUAUAA
RNAcentral lists this transfer RNA (70 nucleotides) under Hydromanicus huapingensis. Its description in RNAcentral is "tRNA-Ile". The record is from RNAcentral. Lineage: Eukaryota; Metazoa; Arthropoda; Insecta; Trichoptera; Hydropsychidae.